RNAcentral lists this non-coding RNA (28 nucleotides) under Mus musculus (house mouse). Lineage: Eukaryota; Metazoa; Chordata; Mammalia; Rodentia; Muridae. The record is from RNAcentral.
UGCCUUCCAAACACCUUGGUUCUCACAG